GAUGAACGCUGGCGGCGUGCCUAAUACAUGCAAGUCGAGCGAACAGAUAAGGAGCUUGCUCCUUUGACGUUAGCGGCGGACGGGUGAGUAACACGUGGGUAACCUACCUAUAAGACUGGGAUAACUUCGGGAAACCGGAGCUAAUACCGGAUAACAUUUGGAACCGCAUGGUUCUAAAGUGAAAGAUGGUUUUGCUAUCACUUAUAGAUGGACCCGCGCCGUAUUAGCUAGUUGGUAAGGUAACGGCUUACCAAGGCGACGAUACGUAGCCGACCUGAGAGGGUGAUCGGCCACACUGGAACUGAGACACGGUCCAGACUCCUUCGGGAGGCAGCAGUAGGGAAUCUUCCGCAAUGGGCGAAAGCCUGACGGAGCAACGCCGCGUGAGUGAUGAAGGGUUUCGGCUCGUAAAACUCUGUUAUUAGGGAAGAACAAAUGUGUAAGUAACUGUGCACGUCUUGACGGUACCUAAUCAGAAAGCCACGGCUAACUACGUG
Molecule: ribosomal RNA, 497 nt
Filed under: uncultured bacterium
Lineage: Bacteria
Description: partial 16S ribosomal RNA
Rfam family: Bacterial small subunit ribosomal RNA
Source: RNAcentral